GUGGGGAAUUUUGGACAAUGGGGGCAACCCUGAUCCAGCAAUGCCGCGUGCAGGAAGAAGGCCUUCGGGUUGUAAACUGCUUUUGUACGGAACGAAACGGUCUGGGUUAAUACCCUGGGCUAAUGACGGUACCGUAAGAAUAAGCACCGGCUAACUACGUGCCAGCAGCCGCGGUAAUACGUAGGGUGCGAGCGUUAAUCGGAAUUACUGGGCGUAAAGCGUGCGCAGGCUGUGCUGCAAGUCAGCUGUGAAAUGUCUGGGCUUAACCCGGGCAUGCGGUUGAGACUGCAGUGCUGGAGUGCUGUAGAGGCAAGUGGAAUUCCCAGUGUAGCAGUGAAAUGCGUAGAUAUGCGGAGGAACACCGAUGGCGAAGGCAAUCCCCUGGGCCUGCACUGACGCUCAUGCACGAAAGCGUGGGGAGCAAACAGGAUUAGAAACCCUGGUAGUCC
RNAcentral lists this ribosomal RNA (449 nucleotides) under uncultured bacterium. Its description in RNAcentral is "partial 16S ribosomal RNA". It matches the Rfam family "Bacterial small subunit ribosomal RNA", at positions 354 to 796 of the family's 1533-position model. The record is from RNAcentral.